Molecule: ribosomal RNA, 254 nt
Filed under: uncultured bacterium
Lineage: Bacteria
Description: partial 16S ribosomal RNA
Rfam family: Bacterial small subunit ribosomal RNA
Source: RNAcentral
UACGAAGGGUGCAAGCGUUACUCGGAAUUACUGGGCGUAAAGCGUGCGUAGGAGGUUGUUUAAGUCUGUUGUGAAAGCCCUGGGCUCAACCUGGGAACUGCAGUGGAAACUGGACGACUAGAGUGUGGUAGAGGGUAGCGGAAUUCCUGGUGUAGCAGUGAAAUGCGUAGAGAUCAGGAGGAACAUCAAUUGGCGAAGGCAGUUAACUAUUCUGCUACUGACAUUGAGGCAUGAAAGCGUGGGGAGCAAAACGG